Molecule: ribosomal RNA, 253 nt
Filed under: uncultured bacterium
Lineage: Bacteria
Description: partial 16S ribosomal RNA
Rfam family: Bacterial small subunit ribosomal RNA
Source: RNAcentral
UACGUAGGGUGCAAGCGUUAAUCGGAAUUACUGGGCGUAAAGCGUGUGUAGGCGGCUACGUAAGUCGGAUGUGAAAGCCCCGGGCUCAACCUGGGAAGUGCACUCGAUACUGCGUAGCUUGAGUCUCGGAGAGGUUGGUGGAAUUCUCGGUGUAGAGGUGAAAUUCGUAGAUAUCGAGAGGAACACCGGUGGCGAAGGCGGCCAACUGGACGAAGACUGACGCUGAGACACGAAAGCGUGGGGAGCAAACAGG